This 683-nucleotide long non-coding RNA is filed under the name Fukomys damarensis (Damara mole-rat). RNAcentral's name for it is "lncRNA (ENSFDAG00000027382.1)". Lineage: Eukaryota; Metazoa; Chordata; Mammalia; Rodentia; Bathyergidae. The record is from RNAcentral.
AGGACUUCUAAAUCACUACCAAGCUGCUGCUCUUCGUCCCGGAUCAGCUACCGUCCGGGCCUUCCAAAACUGAUCUCGAUCCCCGCCAGCUCACGCUCACAAUGUGAAGAGACCAACGCUUCGAAGUCGGACCAAACCUUCCCCUUCCUAAGCCUGGCAGGAAGAGGCUGUGCUCCAAGGGGACCACAGGGACCACGCGGCCGGCUCCUAACUUCUGCUGUCCUGCACCAGUCAGACUGCUGUCUUUCUGUGUCUGAGAAGUGCUGUGCCCCACCCUACCCUGCGCUCAGGACCACUGGCACCCAGGGCAGUGCUCGCACCGGGGAGGAGCCUGUGAGCGCCUGUUUGAGCCCUGAACAAGCCAAUCUGCACAGAAGGCAGAGAUGGUCCCGGUGUGGGAUUCACGCUGAGAUUCCACAGGAAGAGUUUACAAGUGAAUAUCACUGAAGUAUGCAGUAACUUCUGGAACAAGUCCUGCUGCCUUUGAAUAGCGGCGUCCCACCCUCCAGCGAACAGCUCCAAACCGCAGGCCACCCCUAAAGCCUGUUUCUGUGGUCGGGUCUGUGUGCGCCUCUGCAGCCCCGGCUUGUGCCCCGUGCUCCUCCAGGAGCGUCAGACACCUUCUGCUGGGUUGGGAUCGGCAAAUCCCAUUUGUGAGGACCGUUGUCCAGUUUUGAUGUGGA